GCCAGUGUGGCAUAGUGGUUUGAGUGUUGGACUAUGACUCUGGAGACUAGGGUUCGAAUCCCUGCUCAGCCA
Non-coding RNA from Phrynosoma platyrhinos (Desert horned lizard), 72 nucleotides. The record is from the annotation of a GenBank genome assembly. Lineage: Eukaryota; Metazoa; Chordata; Lepidosauria; Squamata; Phrynosomatidae.